RNAcentral lists this ribosomal RNA (228 nucleotides) under uncultured bacterium. Its description in RNAcentral is "partial 16S ribosomal RNA". It matches the Rfam family "Bacterial small subunit ribosomal RNA", at positions 568 to 795 of the family's 1533-position model. The record is from RNAcentral.
UGCGUAGGCGGACUAAUAAGUCAGUGGUGAAAUCUCUCGGCUCAACCGGGAAACUGCCAUUGAUACUGUUAGUCUUGAGUUCGGUUGAGGUAGGCGGAAUGUGUAAUGUGGCGGUGAAAUGCUUAGAUAUUACACAGAACACCAAUUGCGUAGGCAGCUUACUAGACCGACACUGACGCUGAGGCACGAAAGCGUGGGUAGCGAACAGGAUUAGAUACCCUGGUAGUC